GGGCCGGCCCAUCAGAUGCUCUGUUCCUCUGCUGUUCCCUGCAAACACACGCUCUUGGCCACCCCUCCCAGCCUGGGUUCUUUGAUGCCUGGAGUGCUGAGAUAUCUUCCAGAGCCCUUGGAGUGUGUCCUGCUUGCUGGAAAGAAAGAUCAAUUCCUGAUAGGAGGAACUCUCAGGUCUCCUGCUCUGGGCCAGUGGGGCUGCCAAGAAGAAGAAAGAGCCAGCAUCUGUUAGGAUCCUCUCAAUGCCAAGUCUUCACCUCAGCUGCAUCCUCUAUUCCAAUUCUGUCUGUUUGAAACAAAACUAGCCCAGCUGUGACACAAAAGGUGACAGGUUCUGUUUAAUGAAGCAGUUUCUUUUGCCUGGUUUCUCUGUGUUAAUUCGGGCGGGACGAGGAAGGAGUAACACUAUCUCCACAGAGAGAAAACAUUGUGAGUUGGAAUCCCUUAAACUGCUAAAGAACAAUUUGAAGACUUGGUGCUUUGUGAAUGGGGUUACCCAAAGGACGGUGGUAUGUGAAAGUCAAACAGGAAACUCAAGGUUAUUUUUAUUUACUUGUACACAAGAGGGACUUUAAGGAAACAAACUCUCAACUUUUAUAAGUCAAGGAUUCACUUUAACAACGGAGAUGUAAACAUCGCCCUCAAUGAUGUCCUUGGUCAUUGUGGUUUCCCUGCCUUUGGAGCAUAGCUCAGUUGGGUCUUCAGUCUGAACCACAGCCUCCAGAACUCAAGUGGCAAGUGCCAACAGGCUGUGCCUGAACCCCAAAGCCAAACAUCGCUUCCAAGUUGCUGCUACAGAUCCUUCCCUUCAGUGUGACUACAUCUCUCUCUUCCCUUUCUCUCAGGAGAUCCAAUGUUGA
Long non-coding RNA from Canis lupus familiaris (dog), 862 nucleotides. RefSeq lists it as uncharacterized. The transcript is spliced from 3 exons. NCBI's taxonomy places the organism in Eukaryota, Metazoa, Chordata, Mammalia, Carnivora, Canidae. The record is from RefSeq and is a predicted model, not a curated record.